GGCUAAGUGGGAAUCAAGGGAAGCUUCAAGGGAGGCAUGAAAACUCUUCAAGGCACGUAUCUCGUCAGAGGAGAUCCUUAAGUCAGCUUGAGCUUGAAUCAAGCUUUGCACUAACUCCCGUGCAUAUUCUUCUUUCUUCUCCACAAGUGCCUUAAGCUCUCUGAUUUCUUCACUGGCCUUUGAUAAUUGUUCUGAAAAUGAGC
This 203-nucleotide long non-coding RNA is filed under the name Nicotiana benthamiana. Its description in RNAcentral is "long non-coding RNA (NBEN_LNC006169)". Lineage: Eukaryota; Viridiplantae; Streptophyta; Magnoliopsida; Solanales; Solanaceae. The record is from RNAcentral.